Molecule: ribosomal RNA, 492 nt
Filed under: uncultured bacterium
Lineage: Bacteria
Description: partial 16S ribosomal RNA
Rfam family: Bacterial small subunit ribosomal RNA
Source: RNAcentral
AGUGAACGCUGGCGGUAGGCCUAACACAUGCAAGUCGAACGGCAGCACAGUAAGAGCUUGCUCUUACGGGUGGCGAGUGGCGGACGGGUGAGGAAUACAUCGGAAUCUACUUUUUCGGGGGGGUUAACGUAGGGGAACUUACGCUAAUACCGCAUACGCCCUACGGGUGAAAGCAGUGGAUCUUCGGACCUUGCGCGGUUGGAUGAGCCGAUGUCGGAUUAGCUAGUGGGCGGGGUAAAGGCCCACCAAGUGGCCGAUCCGCAGCUGGUGUGAGAGGAGGGUCACCCACACUGGAACUGAGACACGGUCCAGACUCCUACGGGAGGCAGCAGUGGGGAAUAUUGGACAAUGGGCGCAAGCCUGAUCCAGCCAGACCGCGUGGGUGAAGAAGGCCUUCGGGUUGUAAAGCCCUUUUGUUGGGAAAGAAAAGCAGCAGGUUAAUACCCCGCUGGUCUGACGGUACCCAAAGAAGAAGCACCGGCUAACUUCGUG